Molecule: ribosomal RNA, 2883 nt
Filed under: Rhipicephalus microplus (southern cattle tick)
Lineage: Eukaryota; Metazoa; Arthropoda; Arachnida; Ixodida; Ixodidae
Description: eukaryotic LSU rRNA
Rfam family: Eukaryotic large subunit ribosomal RNA (bases 392-2883)
Source: RNAcentral
AUUCAGUCUCCGGACGAUCGCGGAGCCGGCGGCGUCAGGUAAACGGUCCCCUUCGGGGGACUGUUCCGGCUGCUGGCACGCAGACGCGGUCUCCGGGGUGCGCACUUCCCACCGCCGGUAGGACGCCGCGACGGACGCGGGUAAAGGGAACAGCGCACGACUUUGAGUCCGGCAGUGGAGGUGACCUGCCCGUCUCUUCGGAGACGGCACACGGGCGUUAUACCACGCCGUGCACGAAAAGUUCGUCACCCCGUCCAGGCCCCAUGGGCUUCUCCCGGUUGUCGGGAGGCCCGAACGAUGACGCCCUCCGGAAACGGAGCGGAGAACCCGCUGGGCAAGCUUGUCGUCUCCUGCUGUCCGGGUUGGUCCCGCGGCGGCGGGUUGGCCGGCGAGAAGCCUCUGCGAGCGGGGCUAUUCUCCCGCGGAGGCGCUAUCGUGGUUUGCGGCGAGUAGGUCGGUAACCCACCCGACCCGUCUUGAAACACGGACCAAGGAGUCUAACAUGUGCGCGAGUCAAUGGGUCUCCCGAAACCCAAUGGCGCAAUGAAACGUGAAGGCCCCUAGCGGGCUGCGUUGCGAUCCCGGACCACAGGGGUCCGAUAAAGGGCGCAGCAACGGCCCGUCCCAGGCGCUCACACGUCGCCGGGGCGGAGCGAGAGCGCACACGUUGGCACCCGAAAGAUGGUGAACUAUGCCCGGGCAGGACGAGGCCAGAGGAAACUCUGGUGGAGGUCCGAAGCGAUUCUGACGUGCAAAUCGAUCGUCCGAUCCGGGUAUAGGGGCGAAAGACCAAUCGAACCAUCUAGUAGCUGGUUCCCUCCGAAGUUUCCCUCAGGAUAGCUGGCGCUCGAUGGGAGAGCAGUCACACCUGGUAAAGCGAAUGAUUAGAGGCAUUGGGGUCGAAACGUCCUCAACCUAUUCUCAAACUUUCAAUGGGUGUACGGGAGGCCUUCUGGGUUGAGGCCUCCCGCUGCGAUGAGAGUGCCAAGUGGGCCACUUUUGGUAAGCAGAACUGGCGCUGUGGGAUGAACCAAACGCCGGGGUAAGGCGCCCGAGUCGGGACGCUCAUGAGAACCCAUGAAGGGUGUUGGUUGCUUAAGACAGCAGGACGGUGGCCAUGGAAGUCGGAAUCCGCUAAGGAGUGUGUAACAACUCUGCCGAAGCAACUAGCCCCGAAAAUGGAUGGCGCUCUAGCGUCGCGCCUAUCCCCGGCCGUCGCUGGCAGAAAAGCACGAAAUGUGGGGGUGCUAAGCCGCGACGAGUAGGAGGGCCGCAGCGGUGUGCGUUGAAGGUGUCGGGCGUGAGCCCGCCUGGAGCCGCCGCUGGUGCAGAUCUUGGUGGUAGUAGCAAAUACUCAAGUGAGAACCUUGAGGACUGAAGUGGAGAAGGGUUCCAUGUGAACAGCAGUUGAACAUGGGUCAGUCGGUCCUUAGGGAAAGGAGAAAUCCUUUCAGAAGCGGGCGCGUUUGUGCAGCUCAGUCUGUGAUACGGAGACGCCCCGCUGCAACCAAAAGGGAAUCGGGUUAACAGUCCCGAACCCGGCUACGGAGAUCGGCUCUUCGGAGCCCAGUGCGGCAACGCAAACCAGCUCGGAGACGCCGAUGGGAGCCCCGGGAAGAGUUUUCUUUUCUCUGUAAGGAGAUCGAGUCCCUGGAAUGGGUUCACCCCGAGAUAGGGACGGUGGCUCCGUAGAGCAGUGCGGCUCUUGCGCUGUCCGGUGCGCUCCUGUCGGCCCUUGAAAAUCCGAGUGAGGGAGUGUGAUUUUCGUGCCGGACCGUACCCACAUCCGCAGCAGGUCUCCAAGGUGAACAGCCUCUAGUCGAUAGACCAAUGUAGGUAAGGGAAGUCGGCAAAACGGAUCCGUAACCUUGGGAAAAGGAUUGGCUCUCUGAGGGCUGAGCCGGUCGGGCUGGGGUCCAGAAGCAGGAACGGCACUGCACCGGGACUGGGCGAGGCUCGCCGCCGUAAAAAGCGGUGCGGCCGAGCCCGGACCAGCGUCGGGACCUUCCUGUGGAAAGCCACAGCUGUGCAUUUUCCGUGGGCUUCGCGCCUGAGGUUCUUGCUUCGGCCGGCAGAAAACAGCCAACUCAGAACUGGCACGGACCGGGGGAAUCCGACUGUCUAAUUAAAACAAAGCAUUGCGAGGGCCGUUGAUCGGUGCUGACGCAAUGUGAUUUCUCCCAGCUGGAAUGUCAAAGUGAGAAGAAAUUCAAAAAAGCGCGGGUAAACGGCGGGAGUAACUAUGACUCUCUUGUGUUUUUAGCCAAAUGCCUCGUAUCUAGUUGGUGACGCGCAAGGGUGGAUUGACGGGAUUCUCACUGACCCUAUCUACUUUAAUUCCAAACACAUACAUAAUGUAAGAGCCUGGACAGUGGUGAGGAAGCCGUUAACAGGAUAAAAUCAAUAUAAACAAAGGACUCUACCUAGACAUCGUGAUUCAGACCCCAAGACACCACAUAAUAAAGAACAACAACAAGACAACAAGAAAGAUCAUCAAAUCUACCUGAAGACCUACGACACAAGAUACAACAGAAGAAGAAUUGUUCGUCAAGAUGCAAGAAAUAUUGAAUGUAAACUAAUUCGGAUUGGAACAAGAAGAUUGUUAAUCAAGAUGAAGAUGAAGACUAUAAACAACAUGUAUAUUACCUACUUUUGUAUACAAAAUAAAUAAAUACCCUGAGUUUGCCGGUCGGUCCCUUCGGCCUUCCUUCCGCUGGUGGUAGUAGUCCCCUUUUUCUUUUCUUUUUUCUCUUCUCUUCUUUAUUUUUCAUUCUCAAAAUUAUUAUCAUUUUUUUUUUUUUUCAAAUUCGGCAGCCUGCGAUACUCCAGCGUGCCAGCAGGGCAGAGGCAUAAAACUUUAUGUUCUUUUAAAGGUAAGUUUAA